CCUACGGGAGGCAGCAGUGGGGAAUAUUGGGCAAUGGGCGCAAGCCUGACCCAGCAACGCCGCGUGAAGGAAGAAGGCUUUCGGGUUGUAAACUUCUUUUCUCAGGGACGAAGCAAUUGACGGUACCUGAGGACUAAGCCACGGCUAACUACGUGCCAGCAGCCGCGGUAAUACGGAGGUGGCAAGCGUUAUCCGGAUUUACUGGGUGUAAAGGGCGUGUAGGCGGGACUGUAAGUCAGAUGUGAAAACCACGGGCUCAACCUGUGACCUGCAUUUGAAACUGUAGUUCUUGAGUACUGGAGAGGCAGACGGAAUUCCUGGUGUAGCGGUGAAAUGCGUAGAUAUUA
Molecule: ribosomal RNA, 347 nt
Filed under: uncultured bacterium
Lineage: Bacteria
Description: partial 16S ribosomal RNA
Rfam family: Bacterial small subunit ribosomal RNA
Source: RNAcentral